Molecule: ribosomal RNA, 460 nt
Filed under: uncultured bacterium
Lineage: Bacteria
Description: partial 16S ribosomal RNA
Rfam family: Bacterial small subunit ribosomal RNA
Source: RNAcentral
CCUACGGGGAGCAGCAGUGAGGAAUAUUGGUCAAUGGACGAGAGUCUGAACCAGCCAAGUAGCGUGAAGGAUGACUGCCCUAUGGGUUGUAAACUUCUUUUAUAUGGGAAUAAAAUGUUCCACGUGUGGGAUUUUGUAUGUACCAUAUGAAUAAGGAUCGGGUAACUCCGUGCCAGCAGCCGCGGUAAUACGGAGGAUCCGAGCGUUAUCCGGAUUUAUUGGGUUUAAAGGGAGCGUAGGUGGAUUGUUAAGUCAGUUGUGAAAGUUUGCGGCUCAACCGUAAAAUUGCAGUUGAAACUGGCAGUCUUGAGUACAGUAGAGGUGGGCGGAAUUCGUGGUGUAGCGGUGAAAUGCUUAGAUAUCACGAAGAACUCCGAUUGCGAAGGCAGUUCACUGGACUGCAACUGACACUGAGGCUCGAAAGUGUGGGUAUCAAACAGGAUUAGAUACCCGUGUAGUC